GUGGUGAUCUAGGAUCAGGUCAUAAAGAGUCUCAGUGGUGGUGAUCUAGAAUCAGGUCAUAAAGAUUCUCAGUAGGAGUGGUGAUCUUGGAUCAGGUCAUAAAGAGUCUCAGUAGGAGUGGUGAUCUAGGAUCAGGUCAUAAAGAGUCUCAGUAGGAGUGCUGAUCUAGGAUCAGGUCAUAAAGAGUUCCAGUAGGAGUGGUGAUCUAGGAUCAGGUCAUAAAGAGUCUCAGUAGGAGUGCUGA
This is a long non-coding RNA of Oncorhynchus keta (chum salmon), 244 nucleotides long. RefSeq lists it as uncharacterized. The transcript has 3 exons. NCBI's taxonomy places the organism in Eukaryota, Metazoa, Chordata, Actinopteri, Salmoniformes, Salmonidae. The record is from RefSeq and is a predicted model, not a curated record.